Molecule: non-coding RNA, 1474 nt
Organism: Arachis ipaensis
Lineage: Eukaryota; Viridiplantae; Streptophyta; Magnoliopsida; Fabales; Fabaceae
Source: RefSeq, a predicted model, not a curated record
UCGGUUCUCGCUACUUUAAAGUCUUUCUUGCUGCACAAAAUAAUAGCUCUCUGUUUUCUCUGCAUAAUUCAUUUUCAUUGAAGAACCAACUUUCCACAUGGUAUUAAGAGCUUGAAUCUUGGAUCCAUGGCACUCAUUCUUCCUGCUUCUACAACCAACAACAACAAAUAUACACUCAUUCCCAUUAUAGACAAAUUAGAUGACACCAAUUUUGUGACAUGGAAACAACAAGCUCUCUUCACACUUAAGGGCCAGAAUUUGGAAGAUCACAUUGUUGAAGGGAAAGAACCUCCAAAGCAUGCCUCUGAUGCUGAAAAAGCUGCCAGUACCAUCUCAAGUGUGUACACUGAAUGGAUGCAACAUGAUUCUAAUCUUUGUUCUUGGUUUUUUGCAUCUGUUGAUGGCUCGUUCAAGAACCAAAUUGUACAUUACAAAUCUGCUAUUCAAAUUUGGGACAAACUCCAUCAAAUAUUUGUUGAAACCACCAAAUCAAAAAUCAAGUAAUUAAGAACUCAGCUCAAGAAUGUCAAGAAGAACUCUCUCACCAUCAACCAGUAUCUUGCUACCAUCAAGAAACUUGUUGACUCUCUUACUGCUCUUGGAUAUGAUGUCAUGAAUGAAACACAUAUAGAAGCCAUAUAUGAUGGCCUUCCUGAAGAUUAUUCACACUGCAUUACACUUGUUCAAACAAAACUUGAACUCUUUACUAUUGGAGAAGUUGAAACUCUCCUUAUUUCUCAUGAAGAAACGCUUGAAAAGUUCAAACAACUUUCUAUUGGAUUAGCACAAGCUCAGUUAGCUCAAUCAAAUUUUUCCAAUCCAAGAUUUGCUGGAAGAACCUCUGGAGGACGAAGAGGUGCUCGUGGUGGAAGAUUUUCACGCGGUGGAAGAAAUUCAUGGCAAUCAAUAAAUCGUCUUUAUUGCCAAGUGUGUAAUCGUCCAGGCCAUUCCGCUUUACAUUGCUUCUAUCGAUUUGAUCAAGCAUACAAUGGAUACUCUUCAAAUUCAGCCAAUGCUGGUUCAUCUAAUCCACCGCCUCCUCCUUCCUCCUCCUUUCACCAGCCACAGUCUUACCUCACUUCCACCUCUUCUGCUACUGACACUGCAUGGUACCCUGACACCGGUGCAAGCCAUCACCUCACAUAUGAUUCUGCCAACCUUAUAUCUUCAGCUAAAUAUACUGGGCCUGAUCAACUAUAUAUAGCAAAUUGAUCUGGUCCACAAGCAAACACUUCUUCAAGGAAUUCUUAGACAUGGACUAUAUUCCUUUGAUAAUUUGUGUGUGCCAACACCGUUAUAUGAUCAUAAUUCUGCUCAUGCUUUUUUAGCUUCUUGUAAUCUCAAUCUUGCUUUGUGGCAUAGAAGGCUAGGACAUCCUUCUAACUCUAUUGUAAAAAGUGUCCUUAAACAAUGUAAUAUUCCGAUUAAUCAAAGUUCAGCUACUGAUUCUUUUAUUUGUGAUCAUUGUUGUAUG